GUAUGUAGCUCAGUGGUGGAGAGCUUGCCUCACACGUAUGAGGCACUGGGUUCAAUCCCCAGCACCACA
RNAcentral lists this transfer RNA (69 nucleotides) under Marmota monax (woodchuck). Its description in RNAcentral is "tRNA.Val". The stretch from base 4 to 64 matches the Rfam family "tRNA", at positions 6 to 65 of the family's 71-position model. Rfam says of the family: Transfer RNA (tRNA) molecules are approximately 80 nucleotides in length. Their secondary structure includes four short double-helical elements and three loops (D, anti-codon, and T loops). Further hydrogen bonds mediate the characteristic L-shaped molecular structure. tRNAs have two regions of fundamental functional importance: the anti-codon, which is responsible for specific mRNA codon recognition, and the 3' end, to which the tRNAs corresponding amino acid is attached (by aminoacyl-tRNA synthetases). tRNAs cope with the degeneracy of the genetic code in two manners: having more than one tRNA (with a specific anti-codon) for a particular amino acid; and 'wobble' base-pairing, i.e. permitting non-standard base-pairing at the 3rd anti-codon position. The record is from RNAcentral. Lineage: Eukaryota; Metazoa; Chordata; Mammalia; Rodentia; Sciuridae.